RNAcentral lists this long non-coding RNA (363 nucleotides) under Homo sapiens (human). RNAcentral's name for it is "HSALNT0016286". The record is from RNAcentral. Lineage: Eukaryota; Metazoa; Chordata; Mammalia; Primates; Hominidae.
GAUAUCUUAGAACGGUCCCAUUUGGUCCCUGUUAGUUGGAAAGCAUCUGGUGGCUUGAAUUUCUGACUCAUGAUUGUUACUGGAGUCUCUGUAAACAAACCGGCACUAGCGCUAUCACAUUCUCUCCGGGAUUUCCCCCCCUGCUCUGUGGCUUCUUGUUGAGAGGUUGUUUGGUUAUGGUUUAGCGUUGAAAAGAUUCAGGUUAUCCUUUUAAAUGACUUUACGUUUUAGUGGAGCUGGGAGAUUACUUGCCUGGCUUCUAAUCUUCAUGUUGGUUCAUUUUAUUUCCAUAUGUGUGUGGGUUAUUUGUUCAGUAAUUAGAAUUAGAUAAAGUAUUCUGCUUUUAAGUAGUUUUGAGAAGGC